This 253-nucleotide ribosomal RNA is filed under the name uncultured bacterium. Its description in RNAcentral is "partial 16S ribosomal RNA". It matches the Rfam family "Bacterial small subunit ribosomal RNA", at positions 524 to 776 of the family's 1533-position model. The record is from RNAcentral.
GACAGGGGUCUCAAGCGUUAAUCGGAAUCACUGGGCUUAAAGGGUGCGUAGGCAGGCCUGUAAGUGUCCUGUGAAAUCCCCCGGCUCAACCGGGGAACUGCGGGGCAUACUGCGGGUCUUGAGGAAGGUAGGCGCCGAGGGAACAGUAGGUGGAGCGGUGAAAUGCGUAGAUAUCGUUUGGAACGCCGAUGGUGAAAACAGGUCGCUGGGGGCUUGCUGACGCUGAGACACGAAAGCCAGGGGAGCAAACGGG